UUUAAAUUUUAUAUUACUUGCGAUUUGUUUAAUAAAACAUGAAAAAAUUGAAUACAUAUUUAUUCGCGCCUCGAAUAAAAUACUUGAGGUGUUGUGCGCAUGCGCGGCGGGAAUUGUUCAAUUGUUUGUCAGUAAAAGUGACGCCAUAUUUGUUCCUUGGAUACGAAUUUGACACGGGAUUCGCAUCGUCCUCGUUAAUUGCAGCUUUUGAAGAAUUUUACGAGUGAAAAGACACAGUAGAGAAUACAACGAAAACGAUUCUUUGAAAACAAUCGAUCUUCAUUGGACAAGUAAGGAUACAAAGCUAGGCUUAAUAGGAAGAGAAAGAGGGAUAGAUAACAUUCGAGACGUAAAUAUAAUAACAUUGGCUUGUAUAUUUCUGAGAAUUUCUUUAGAGAAAGAAAAGAAGAUAAAUAUACAUUGAUACUUUUUCAAGAAAUAGUGUUUGUUCGUUAAAUUAGAUUUGUUCGUAUUCUCGCGAUUUAAAUUAAUUUCAAGAAGCGCGAGUACUUAAAUCGAUUGCGUGCAAUGCAGUCAAUUAUAGAGUCAGUGUUUGUUCGUCUAAAGUUGUUUUUUUUUUUUCACAGUCAUACACAGAUGUGUAUUUAUCGUAUAUAUAACAGUAGAAUUUCGCGGAUUAAAUUUAGUGCCGUUUCCUAAUUAAUAAAUAAUUAACGCGUAUUAGAGUCAGUGCAUCAUGGAAGAAAUGAAUAUACUUAUUCAAUAGGAGAAUAUUGGUCAUCGUUAUAUUUUCAUCAAGUCACAAUUCAACCUACGUUAAUGUCUACCUAUCAUAAUUUCGACCUACAAUAAGAACGAGUGUUUUGGAGCCAUCAGAGAACUUCUUAAGUAGUAAGUGAAGAAAUUAAAGUCCCUUCAGUACUCAUCAUGCCGAGGAUGAAAAAGAUUCGAAUCGGCACGAGUUUACUGAUUGUAAUUUUUUUAAAAUAAUUUAUUGCAGCGAGCAUGACCGUGAGUAAUUUCUCUUUUGAAUUUACUCGUAAAUUUUUAAUUGUGUAUAUGUUUUUUAUUGUUUAUUUAUUGUGCAUGCUUAUUAUCAUUAAUUCAGGAUAAGGAUCU
Long non-coding RNA from Vespa velutina, 1080 nucleotides. RefSeq lists it as uncharacterized. Lineage: Eukaryota; Metazoa; Arthropoda; Insecta; Hymenoptera; Vespidae. The transcript is spliced from 4 exons. The record is from RefSeq and is a predicted model, not a curated record.